AUGAUGGGUUUAGCGACGAUUUGUGAGGGUUGUAUUGAGAUGUGAAAUGGGGUUUUUUUUUGCGUGAAAGAUGACAGAGAAUGUGAAAUUGUAUGUAGACCAAAAUACCCCUGCGCGUCUAAAUUAAAAAUCAUACGUGGAUGGCUAAGAUUACUUCCUAUCCUUCCUAUCAAGAUCAAACUUCAUAUUUGAUCCUUACCAUGUGUUUAAAUUAUUUAUUCUAAUAACUCGUAUUUUUUCUUCUACUAGAAUGUGUUUAAAUAAUAUUCUUUAUAUAGUUCUCAACAUUGUAUGAUUAAAAAAAAACUAAUUUUGAAAUGAGAAGUUUCGGUUUAAUGUGGGUGAGACAUUUUUCAUAAACUUUAGGGUAAAUUACACUUUUCGUCCUUUAUGUUUGUAUCGAAUUGCAAUGGGUAUCCUUUAACUUCAAUAAUUACAGUCACAGUCCUUUAUUUGGAAAACUCAGUACACUUUUCGUCCUUUAGCAAUAACAUGGUUAAAUUUUUCAGUUAAGUUUAUUCACUUAAGGGCAUUUUAGUCUUUUUACUUAAUUAUUUAUAGUAUAAAUAAAAAAUAACAUUUAAAAAUUAAAAUUUUAUAAAACCAAAUAUAAAUACCUAUCUUCUUUCUCUCUCACACCUUUCUCUUUCUCUGUCUCUCAACAAACCAGCAGCCACAACGAUCUUUACCAUCCCUGCAAAUCUGAGCCAUCCCAAGGUCUUCCUCAUCUAACAUCUUACAAAUAUGAACUAUUUUAAGCUUCAAUUCAACUUCUAAAACAUAAUCUUCAACAUCCACAAAUCUGGUCUUGUUCAGUUUUCCGGCGCCGGUGCUAUUGGACAAGUCUGUCAGUUGAUCGGUGUUGUUGUUGAUCAUUCAAUCGUUUUCUCUUCGAAUCUAAGGAGGAAAAGCAGACAAAGAACUAGUGUCUGAAAACGAGUAAGGAAUCAUAAAUGCUUCUGUAUAUGUGUGUAUAUAUAUUCUAUAUCAUAGCAAUGGAAUCUCAGCUUUAAUCUCAUCCGUUUGCGUGAAAGUAACACGGACUUACGCUCGAUAGAUUGAUUGAAUUGCAUUUGUGGUGUUUCAAAAGGUAUUUGUAAAAUUUGUAUCCUAAAAUUUGAUCUGUUUGUUCUUAUUUAGUUUCAGUUUGAUGUGCAUAGAGUAAAUUGAUUGUAUUAUUGUUACUGUUAGUAUUGAUAACUCUAAAAGGCAAGAAAUUUGAUGUUCAUCUUGUUCCUCUGUGAUACUUAAUGAGGACACCAUGUGUGUUGUUAAUCUUCCUGGACUUUUGUAUAGAAAUUGAUGGCUGGUGUUUCGUGUAACGUGUAAAUGGUUUCUUAAAUACGGGUUGCUUGAUGCUUUGAUUGAUUUUCUAUGUUUAGAAAAUGCUGGUGGGUCAGAUUUGGUGGUGGUGGUGGCGGCGGCGGCGACUGGAGUUAGGGGUGGUGGUGGUGGUUGGAGAGACAGAACUGAUAUUGAGAUAGAGAGAUUGGGGGUUGUUUAUUUAUUUAAGGGUAAAUUACAUUUUUCAUCCUUUAUACAAGUAAAAUUACUAACUUACCCUCAUGUGCAAGUCACAUGACUAGAAUUAACUGAAAAAUUUAACCUUGUUACUGCUAAAGGACAAAAAGUGUACUGAGUUUUCCAAAUAAAGGAUUGUGACUAUAAUUAUUGAAGUUAAAGGGUAUCCGUUUCAAUUCGAGAUAAACAUAAAGGACGAAAACUGUAAUUUACCCUAAACUUUAUUAAAUGUAAAGAACCAUGAAGUAUGAAUACCAUUGUAAAAAAUGUAUAUUAUUUAAGAAAAGCUGGGAGUUAUAAUUUCAUGCCAUGCCACACAAAAAAAAAAUGUUGUGGUGAGAACUUGUGACAAGAUCCCUUCAUAUCUGCAAAUUUGGUCAUCAUUUCAUGCCACAUAAAAA
This 1922-nucleotide long non-coding RNA is filed under the name Helianthus annuus (common sunflower). RNAcentral's name for it is "hypothetical non coding rna". Lineage: Eukaryota; Viridiplantae; Streptophyta; Magnoliopsida; Asterales; Asteraceae. The record is from RNAcentral.